RNAcentral lists this transfer RNA (93 nucleotides) under Pseudomonadota bacterium. RNAcentral describes it as "tRNA-Ser". It matches the Rfam family "tRNA". Rfam says of the family: Transfer RNA (tRNA) molecules are approximately 80 nucleotides in length. Their secondary structure includes four short double-helical elements and three loops (D, anti-codon, and T loops). RNAcentral also lists the same sequence under 1 other name. The record is from RNAcentral. Lineage: Bacteria; Pseudomonadati; Pseudomonadota.
GGAGAGGUGACCGAGUCGGUCGAAGGUGCUCGCCUGCUAAGCGAGUGUACAUCGAAAGAUGUACCCCGGGUUCGAAUCCCGGCCUCUCCGCCA